Triticum aestivum (bread wheat) is the source of this 2015-nucleotide long non-coding RNA. RefSeq lists it as uncharacterized. NCBI's taxonomy places the organism in Eukaryota, Viridiplantae, Streptophyta, Magnoliopsida, Poales, Poaceae. The transcript has 3 exons. The record is from RefSeq and is a predicted model, not a curated record.
CACAGCUGCUUCCCAGCGUCUCCCAAAUCCCGUCUACGGCCUACCUCGCCGACGGCCAGUGCCUGCCAAAACCCUCGAUCGUCUCCUUCCGUGCGUCCGAGGUGGUGGUGCACAUAGGAGAGAUGGCACACGAAAGGUGCUCAUGGAGGUCACGACCGAGAUAGGGCCGCACUUGGCCGGCAACAGACUAUGCGCACGGCGGGAGGUGGCCAAUUUUCACUGCUGGCUAACCUAUCCGGCUCGCCCCAUGGAGGUGGACAGCCAUUGGGAGGUCACGGUCGUUGCGAGAGGUUGGGUGGAGGCACAGCAGGGCUUCAACGUUCUUGCCUCUGGACGGCCCGGACGAUCAUCCGUGGCUUUUAUGGUUCCGCUGCCUGGAGGCGUUCGUCACCGGGCGAGGUCGGCCUUGCUCCCAUUGCUGCUGUCCAUGGCGGCCGAGAUGGACAUGGCAAACUGCGGCUAUGUCGCAUCCUUGCCGCGGUGAGAUGAGCCGAGGCGAGGAAGGUGGAGCGCACGGGAGCACUUGAAGGGAGGAGAUGAUGAAACAGCCGACCUGCUGGAUGUGUGGGGCCCGAGAACCAAAGUAGCAUCAAGAAUAGUAGAUCUUUCCCGCAGUUGGGCGACUAUUUUGUCACACGCAAGAGCUUCCGCGCUUGGCCGAACACCGGGGCUCCUCGACUGUGCGGAGGUGUUCAAGAAUCGAGACCCACGCAUACUAUGAUUUGGGCAUCGGUGUCCGGUAGACCGGCACCAUCAGCUUCCCUCAUCCAUGCCUUCAACGAGCCAUCCGUGUCCGACUCCCUCUUCCUUGCAAUCGGAAAAAGAGAUAGCACAGCUCCUGUUGGCGUGUGGCCCACCCUCUGUCCACUGUUUCUCCUGUAAGUUCCCAAUCAUACUCAAGACUCUUUCUUCUCCAUCGCUUCUGGUAUGAAUUCCAAGAAAACUUAUGUGAUAUUCUUUCGAAUUUUAUGAAUUUAUUAGAAGUACAUAUUUGCUAUUCCUGACAUUACUUUGAUUUUUAUAAGAUGUAAUGCUAAAAUUGCAUGGAGAAGUCUACACCGUGCGCAAUUUUCUGGACGAUCACCGUUUUGUGAAAAUUCAAAGCGAACAAAACAGGGCUGUACAGGGGGACAAUCUUUCUGAAGUUCAGCUUGGCCAGGCUCCACCUUUAUUUCUUUUAGUAUGUUGGAUGAUUGUAACUAGAACACUGAUUUGAUGCAAUAAAGCUCCCUUUAACCCAAAAAUAAAUGGAAGGGUUGUUGAGCUUAUUUUCGGACCAUAAUUUGUCAUAUAGCUCUUCUGAAAUAAACCCUCACUUUCCUACUAUUCUUCCUACUAAACAUGUGUCUCAAAGAAAAAUACGUUUGUUAGCGCUGCAUUGCCACAUUUUAUGUCUCCGUUAUAGCUGGUAACUUGCACACUAUGUCAGGUUUACUUCUUUCUGGCAGUACAUUACUAAAAUCGAUAAUAUGUGUCAUAUCAACCAGAUCUUGCUUGACUUGUUAUGUAGUUCUAUCCUUGAAAUAGCAUUGUUUCUCUAUGCUUUCCCUACAAUUGAAAUGUUCUUGCUAGAAGCAAUCUAAAAGAAAAACCAAUUCAUUGUAUUGUUGAAAACUCAACAUUAAUUCCUUCAUUUGGUUCAUGUUUAUGUUCUUUAUAUGGAAGCUUUCGGAGUGCCGAUGGCUCAUGUCUUCAUUUCUGUUUUAACAGCCAAGAUCCGGACAAAUUGUGAUGGGCGUUUAUCUCCUGUUUGCGCGAAGUCAUCAUAUGGAUGUGUUUCUUAAUCUUGAAAUAUUGUGCUUGAGGUGUUAAUGCUGAAGAAUUAAGACUUAACUGUAUUGAGUUUGAUUUGUGGAUAGGCGUCAUUUUACAUUGUACUUUGUGUACGAACAAUAUGUUGUACAUCUAGAUUGUGAGCCCAAUUGACUUUUGACUACAUUGAAUUGGAGAAGCAUAUUCCCUGUCUCUUCUGUAAAUAGAAGUGCUGAAAAAUUGCUUCCGUGCAUUUGUACAUU